GCCUUCGUAGUGUAAUAGUUAACACACUCGGCUCGCAUUCGAGAGGUUUCAGGUUCAAGUCUCGACGAGAGUA
This 73-nucleotide transfer RNA is filed under the name Stegodyphus mimosarum. It matches the Rfam family "tRNA". From Rfam's summary of the family: Transfer RNA (tRNA) molecules are approximately 80 nucleotides in length. Their secondary structure includes four short double-helical elements and three loops (D, anti-codon, and T loops). The record is from Rfam by way of RNAcentral. Lineage: Eukaryota; Metazoa; Arthropoda; Arachnida; Araneae; Eresidae.